AUGAAUUAGGUCUGUUAGUGUCACAAUUGACUGUACUGUGGCUAUCUAAAAUCAAUUAUCAAACUACAAAAUACCAAGGCUUACUACUUCCAUCUUAAUUCAACCUAUAAUCCAUUCUACGACUAUCAAUUCAACAAUACUUCCAUAUUCUUAUCAGUUCAUCUCUUACUUACUCUCUUUCGAUUAUUAUAUAUAUUCAAUUACUGAUCUCCAGCUUACUUAUUAUAUUCAAUUUCUCAAUUCAUCACACAGAAUUCAAUAUCUUCACUUAAUACAACACAAUUCGAUAAUCUCAAUUCUCAAGGUCACAGAUUUUUUCCAAAACGGUCAGUCCAAAGUCAUAUUCCAUAAUAUUCUAAUCACAGUUUCAACAAUACUUCUUUCAAUUAUAAUUCUUCAUAAGAAAAUAAUAAAAACAAAGAAAAAAAAGUGGUAGCAUCAAGCUUAUCCCGGUUUACAACUCACAGUCUGGCUCUUGACUUACGACUCCCAGUUUGGCUCUCAGCUUACGACUCAUAGUCUAGCCUUGAUCUCUCACUUUUCAACCUCUUUAUCUUACCAAAAGAUGAUCCGUCGCCCAGUAGAUUCCAAAGGUUAUGACCCUUUGAAUUCUUAACCAUUUAUUCUACUAACAACCUAUUGUUAUCAACUAAACUACCUAACCAUAAGUCUAAUUCUCAAGGUUGUCAAUAACCAACUAGUAACUUACCACAAAAUUUAUUUACCUAUUCUACACGUAUCUAUCAAUAGCCACUCUGAAGAUCCAAUUUUUUAAAGAUGGUAGUAGCUUGAAGUUGAUCAAAAAGUUCAUCUAUGCUUAAAAGUGGAUAUAUAUUCUUAAUAGUCUAUUUAUUAAGGCCUUGAUAGUCAAUGCAAGGUUGAAGUGUACCAUCUUUCUUAGGUGUAAAGAGUAUAAGUACUCCCUAUGGUAAUAUGCUUUCUUGAAUGAGUCCCUUUUCCAAGAGUUUGUUUAAUAUCUUCCGUAGUUCUUUAAAUUCAUUUGAUAUUAGACAAUAAAUUGGCUGACUUACUUGUUUGGCUCUAAAUAAUAGUUCUAUUUGAAAGGGGGCACCUUGAUUAAAAAUCAUGCUACUAGGUAGAUCAAUUAGAAAGACAUCCCAAUAUUUUUAUAUGAGUUACUUUGUCCAUUCUAUUCUAUUGAUUAUUUUUCCUAUCAUUGAUACAAAAUUUGGAACCACUAUAUAUAGUAUUUUUUUAUAAUAUAUUUGCUUCUUCAUAAAAUUCAUUGCUACAAGUAAGUCUUUAGUUGUAGAUUAUUUUUUUUCUUCACUAAAUGUAUAGGUAAAAAGAAUCACCUUGUGUCUAUUAUCUUUGAAAGAGAUUUUUCUUGCUAUCCAAUUAACUUGCUUAUUUUCCAUCUUUAACCAUGGCAUAUCAAGAAUAAUAUCAUAUCUUAGCUUUGUUGUCUUGAACCUCUCUCUUAAGAUGUAGGUAUCAAUCAACCUUAAGAUUUCUUUUUUUCAUGUCUAAUUCAAUACAUUUUUUUUGUCAUCUUUAAGAUAUAUACUUCUUUUUUUGAUUACUUUAGUUUUAAUUCCAAGUCGAUCAAUAAUUUUAAUAGAAGUGUAAUUUUUUGUAAAGCCACAAUCCACAAGCACUUGACAUGACUGUCUUCUUAAGAGUCCCAUUAGAUGCACUAAUUGACUCUUUUUAUAGUUUAAGGCCAUAUCAUUUAUUUUUGAGAGAUAGUAGCUAUUUCUAAUAUUAACCCUUGAUGCCUUUAUUGAAAAGUCUUGUUUCUCUACUCUAUCUCAUUAUUGAGUUGGUCAGUCUUGAGACUGUGAACUUACCUUGUUUUGUUAGUGCUUGAAUUUUGAUGUUUUAGACAACCUCCAAUGUGAUGGCUUAGCUCCUAAUAAUAGAAACAUAAUACCUUUUGUAUCAAUAUUUUUUGUCUUUGUGGUAUCAAUGAUCCUUAUAAGGCAUCAAUCUCCAUUGGCAUUGAUUAUUGUGCCAUAAUAUUAGAUAGCAACAUAAGAUUUCUUGCUAUAGAUUGUGCUCUAUGAUUUUUGAAAUAUAUAGCAUCGACCAUCUUUGCAAUCCUAAUUGCUUCUUCAAAUGUUUGUGGAUCCUUAAGUUUUAAAUCUUGUAGAAAUGGAUCUAUCAUCUCUACCUCUAAAAUAUUAUUAAUUUAAAGACAUAAGGACUUGAAUAAAAAAUAUAAACUUACACUGAUCUAGAUUGUAUAUAAUUUGCCAUUUGAUUGCAUGCUAUAUUUUUUGUAUUAAUGGAAUAAAAUUGAUUCCUAAAUUCGAUCUCAAAUUCCUUCCAAUCACAAAAUCCACCUUGAGCUCUAUAGCUUUGAACUUGAUUUCACUACCAAAUAGUUGGCGCAUCUCUUAAAUAACUAGCUGCAUACAUAAUUCCUUCAGUGGUAUUUGCUCUAGAUACUUGUUGCAUGUUCAAUAGCCAUUGACAUAUAUCUUCUUGCCUUAAAGUUCCAAAGUAUAUACUAGGCUUAUUCAAUUUGAGCCUAAUACGUGUUGACUAUCUUGUCCUAGAGGCUUCUAUUUGUUUUUGCAAAAUAACUAUGUGGCCUAAGAGGUCAUGUAUUUAAGCCUUCAUUUAGGAUUGCUCCACUAUAUCUUUCAUGUUGUAAUUCAUUGCUAGACUCUAUUAUUGUAAUGCCUUUUCAUCUUUCGAUUGACUUUUUAAGAGUAGCUCAUGGUAGCUUCAAUACACUACUCAAUGUGACCACAAUAACUAACCUCGAAUUAGAUGAUGACUAUUGAUACACUACUAAAGAAUAAUCUAAUACUUGCUCUGAUACCAAUGAAAUAAAACUAGUCUAUCUUGAUAGUCUAAGAUCUUUCUAAUCUAUAGUGACAUAAAACUUCAUCACAAAAUAAGACAAAAUGGACCAGAACAAAAUUGAAUAGAAUUUAACAAAAUAAGAUAUAAAAAAUAAAAUUAAAAAAACAUAUAAAAUAGAACAUAAUUGAAUAAAAAGAUGGAAAAGCAAAUUUUAUUAAGAAAAAAGGUCCAAAGCCAUACUUGACCAAAUAUCCAAAAGAUUUUGACUAGUCCUAUUUAUACGUUGUUUUAUAAACUUGGACUUUCUAGAAUGUUCUUUGAUGAUGGAUGCAAUAUAGAUAACUCCCUUAACUAUUUUUAGAAGAUUUUAUGGUAGAUUCUAUCUAGAUAACUGUCUUAAGUUCUUUCUAUAAUAUUCUAUAGUAGAUCUUACAUAGUAUCAAGGACAUGAACUAUAAGAUGAUGCAUAAACGAAUGAAAUUUGUAUAAAAGAAAAAGUGACAAAAUAGAAAUAAGGAAGUACAUAUAUUGAAAAGAAACUAGAAUGGCUUAUUGCCAAAAGACAAGAAAACUUGAGACUCUAGAAACUAGACUAGAAGCAAGAAAGGAAUUGAUAAGAGUAAAGAGGGCUUCACUAUUGUUUUUAUAUAUACUAUCUAACUAAAGGCUACGUGGCAAUGUUCUAUAAGACCUCUAAUAUGUGUUUACUUUGUGGGACAUAUGCCUUGACUUACAAGGCAAGUUUUUCUAUAUGUGCACUAUAUAGUUAGCUUGUUCUUCAAGCUACCAACAUAUGUAAUACAUAGUUAACUUGUUGAUCAAGUUUUUAACCUAAAAAUCAAUAAUGGAUACCUAUAAAUUCAAAGAAGCAUCUAUAAAGCUUUUAAGAAGCUUUCUUAGAAGAUAUUAUAGAAUUAACUUAUUUUUAUCUAUUUCUAUCUACUUCUAUCUAUUUAUAUAAGAAAUUAUUGGCUUAUAUGUGUAUGUUUGUGAUAUUAUUCUUCCUUCUAGGAAUGAAUUCAAUGAGGAGCAAUCAUUAUAAGUUGAAAAAAAUCUAUAAUAUGACCAAUUAUAUUUGCCACAUAUUCAAAUCUUUAAUCUCUUUGAAGAUGGUUGAUAGGGCCUUUCAAUCAUCAAUAGUAUUCCAUACUAGGGCGAGAAGACCACCUUAUUAUUUGGUCAUUGUUGAAGCCUUCAUUACUUCCUUCAAAUAAAAUAUUUGUAACAACGUCAAGAAUUGUUCAUACUUCUAAUAAAAUUAUCAAACAUCGGGAGUUUUUUCUAAGAUUGUGAUACCAAAUGCAUUAUAUCUUGCCAUCUGUUUGAAGAAAAAUAUAUUGUUCUUGAGGAUCUUUAUGUCAAUUGUGUUGUCUUAAAGGUUGUGAUAAUUGCAAUGUCUCAUCUGAUAGGUCAACAAAUGAAGGCUCUUCAAUCAAAUCCAUUGGUUGUUGAUUCUUCAUUUCUAUAGUAUCAUAAAUACAAAGAAGCUACAAGCAAGGAUUGAAAGUAGAAUAUUAUCUUACCUAAAUCUUGUUUCUUUUAUAGAAAAGGUCUUUAUUUUGAUUUUGAUGAAUAUUGUUGAUAAAAAUCCUCGACCUUCUUUGUUGCAUUUACAAGAUUCUUUGUUGGCUCUCAUGUGCAUUCACUAAUAUUAUAUCUAUGCCAAUGAAUAAGAUAUUUCAACCGAUUUUGGUGUUACCUUAAGUCUAGGACUUCUUUCACUUCAAAUUCUUCAUUAUUAUUCAUUUCAAUAGGAGGAGGUAGCAUUUGUCUUCUUCUUGGUAUGUCCACUAUCUUAUAUGAUUUAAAAAGAGAUAUGUGAAAUAUUAGAUGGAUUUUCAUUGACUCUGAUAGGUAUAAAUAAUAUGCAACUGGAUUGAUUUGUACAAAACUAGGAAAUGGUCUAAGCGUAUGAUAGUCCAAUUUAUCACCAGGACGAGUAGUCUUGAUAUUGCAACAAAGUAAUCAUACCUUGUCACCCAUUUGGAAUGGUGGUUGUUUCUUUCAAUAGACAUGUGUAUUAAUUUUUUGUUGCUUUUGAGCUUUUUUUAAGUAUGCCUUCAUUGUUGCAUGUAACUCUCACAAACAAUUUGCCAAAUCUUUCGCCAUAGGAUUAUCAACUUUUGAAAUGUCAAAAAUAUCAAGUCAUAGAUGAUAACCAUAAUUGGCAAAGAAAGGUGUUUGAUUUGUAGAAGAAUGUAUCGUGUUAUUAUAAAAAAACUUUGCUAAUGACAAAAGAGUUGUUCAAUCAUCUUAUUGAUAGUUGAUGGUACAUCUUAAAUACUCCUCCAAAACUUGAUUAACACGCUGUCGUGAUGUAUUAUGGCUAACAAAGUAAAAGGGUGAAGAAAAUAUCAUGUUUUGAGGAUCUCACUUCAAAAAUAUUGUAGCAAAUUAUCUUGGAAAAAUAGAUAUUAGUCUAAGGGUAGAAAAAUUAAAGGUGCUAAUGCUGCCUUUUUACAAAUUAUGCUUCUAUUUACUUUGUAAGGCCAUAAAUAAGACAAAACAAGGUAGAUUAGAAAAAUAAAGGAUAUAGGCAUAUUUAGGGAGGAGUUAGGAGUGCAAAUUAGUAAAAAUUACCUCAAGAAGACGAAAGUUGAUACUCGAAGAGGACCGGUUAUGAACCUGGGUCGAAAUCAGACCUUGAGGGACAAAACUGCACUCUGACGGCGACUCAAGGGUUCUUUGGAAGAUUGAAGAGGCGAAUUAGAGAGAAGACUUAUGGAGGGAUUUUUGAGAGGUAAUUUCAUAUUGUUUGGAUUAGUAUUGGAUUUUUGAGGAAUUUUCAAAGUGAGUGGUGUUCUCUAUGAAUUCAGAUCUUUGAGAAAUAAAACCAGUUUACAAAUUUUUGGAUUUCGUGUCUUUUGUAGCAUUUUUAUAGGUGAAAAUUUAGAGUCUUAUUGAUAUGGUUGUUGUAAAUGUGUAUAAGAGAUUUGAAGUCAAUCGAAUGGCUAGAUCGAUACAUAUGAAGGUUUUUGUGGGCUAAGGUCUCAGGAUUUAGGAUUUUGAAGACCAAUAAGGUUUUCUUAGAUAUCUAACAAUCUCCCAAUUGGAUUGGAGAUAUUUUUGAUUUUAUCAGUAGAAGACUUGAUUUCCUGUAUGCAAGUAAAAUUUGGAUGCAAUUGAAGAGUGGAAAGGAGAGAUAUCAGCACUUGAAGUUGGCAUCAAGAUUGGAGAAGGAAAGACCAGCCGAUAUCUGAACGAAAUUUUGAGGUCAUGGACUAAGUGAUAAGUGAAAUUUUCUUCAAAUUUUGUAUAUUGGUUUCUAAUUUAAACUCCAAGAAGUAUGCAAAUUUUGAAUUAGAAUCAACGGUUCAAUCUUUAGUUAUUUAAUUUUCAAAUCUAUGAUUACGGUUUGGUUUGGGUUAGGAUUUGGUUAGGAUUUGGUUUAGGAUUUAGGAUUUGUUAGGGUUAGGAUAUGGUUUGGGAUUUGGUUUAGGGUUUAGGAUUUAGAAUUUGGUUUAGGAUUUGAUUUAGGAUUUAGGAUUUGGAUUAGGAUUUGGAUUAGGAUUUGGAUUAGGAUUUAAGAUUUGAUUUAGGAUUUGAUUAGGGAUUGAUUUAAGGUUUAGAGUUUGAUUAAGAUUUGAUUAGAAUUUGGUUUAGGGUUUAGGAUUUGUCUAAGAUUUGAUUAAGGUUGGAUUAAGAUUUGGGGUUGGUUAAAAUUUAAGAUUUUAUUAGAUUUUUGUUAGGGUUUGACUAAGUUUUCUUUAAUAUUCUUUUAUAUUUUUUUUGGAUUUCCUUAUGUUUCUUUUAUAACUUCAAUAAAAUUUAAUUGAGCUUGCUUAAUAUUUGAUUAUAAUUGUUAAUGUUUAAUUAUAAAUUAUCUAUAAUGCUAUUGGAUUGUUAGGAUCUUUUUUUGCAAUUUUCUUUUACCUUUCACAGCUAGGUGUUCAAUGCAUUCUCAAGCAAGACUUCACAUAAUAUGCUCCAUUUAUCCAUCAAUUUGAGGAUGGAAUGCCAAAAAUAUUUUUAUAUCUAUUUUUAGAAUCUUAAAAAGAAUCUAUCAAAAUCUUGAUACAAAAUGAAUUCUCCUAUUUGAUAUAAUAUCCUUGGAUAAUCCAUGAUAGUAAUAGAUAUUGUUAAGAAAGAGUUUAGCUAUUUCUUCACUUAUGAUAGAUUUUGUACAUAGUACAAAAUGUGCCAUUUCGGUAAAACAAUCUACUAUCAUGAAUAUAGAGUCAUAAGAACUUGAGAUUGAAAGAUCCAUAUUGAAAUCCAUAGAAACAGAAGACGAUUAUUGUUUUAGAAUAGAUAAUGGUUGAAGAAGUUCAUAAGAUCGAUGAUGGAGAGUUUUUGAUCUUGAAGAAAUGUUGCAUGACUAAAAAAAAGUCUCUCAUAUCUUUCCACAUUUGUGGCCACCAAAAAUCUUUAGAUAUAAGCUCCAAAGUCUUGUUGUAUCCAAAAUGUCCUACUAUUGGAAAGUCAUGACAUACUUGAAGAACACGUAAUUGUGCUUUUUUUUUUGGAACAUAUAAUCAACCUUCAAAAUAGAGUAGGUUGUUUUUAAACUCAAACUUAGAAGUAUCUUAGGACUUAAAAAAAAGAUUCUUAAUAUUAUGAAUAAGACAACUAGAAGAUAUACUUGAUUAGAUUUGUUUAAGAUUUGAAGCAACAAUCAAUAUUGAUUUCAUUAUUUGAAGAUGAAAAUGCUCUAGCUUCAAGAGAAUCAUUCUUUGUUGAUCAAAAGAUACAUCUCUUUCUUUUGGUAUAAGAUAAGAAUGUGUAGAAAGGGUGUUUGAUAAACCUUGUUAUUUUUUGAGUGGAUAUGUGAUCUUGAAAUCAAAUCUUAAUAAGGACAUGUUCCAAUGGGCUUAGUGAUGAUUCAAAAUAUGAGUGAUAUGAAGUAUUUGAGAUUCUUAUAGUGUGGAUACAUGAUGACUGAAUUGGAAUUGCUUUCUAGAUGAUGAUGCCAUUUUUGAAAUGAAUCUAUGAUUACAAGAAGCUCUUUCUUGUGGAUUUCAUAGUUAAUCUUAAAUGUUGAAAUUUUUUUGGAAUGAAAAGCUACUAGGUAAAAUUUAUCAUUGGUUUCCAUUUCUGAUAAUACAUUAUCUAAAGCAAAGUUUGAUGUGUCUGUUUCCAUACAAUAUGCCUUAGAAAAGUUAACAUGAUACAAGAUUGGUGCAAAAAUAAAGACUCACUUUAAAGCUUCAAAAGAUGCUUCAGCUUCUUUGUUCUACUCAAAUUUGUCUUUGCAAGUCAAAUGUGUAAGUGAGGUUGCAACUUGAGAGAAGUCUUUGAUGAAGAUCUGAUAAUAGUUGGCAAAGCCCAAAAAAUAUUGGAUAUCUCUUACCAUUUUUGGAAUCUUCAAAUCCAUAAUUGUUUGAAAUUUCUUAGGAUCCAUCAUAAGUCUAUCAUUUAAAAUGAUGUAUCCUAAGAAGUCGACUUGAAUAAUGUAGAAUACAUACUUUUCUAUCUUAGCAUAGAGUCUUCUAUAUCUUAAUCUUUAUAACACAUGAUGAACAUGAAGUUCAUAUUCAUCUAUAUUCUUAGAAUAGAUAAAAAUGUCGUCAAGAUAAUAAACAAUAGAAUCAUCCAAAAAUUCUCAAAAAACAUCAUUUAUUAGAUGUUGAAAAGCUAUUGAUGCAUUUGUAAGUCCAAAAGGCAUGAUGUUGUAUUCAAAAUGUCCAUAUCUAGUUCAAAAUAUAGUUUUCCAUUCAUCUCCUUCUUUAAUACAUACUAGAUUGUAUGCUUUUCGUAGAUCUAUUUUUGUAUAGAUCUUAACUUCAUUCAGUUGAUCAAGAAGUCUAGAUAUCAUGAUAGACGGUACCUAUUCUUGAUGGUGAUCUUGUUGAGUCCUUAAUAAUCAAUACUCAUCCGCAAUGAUCCAUCUUUCUUCUUUACAAAUAAGAUCAGAGCUCUUACUGGCGAUUUGGAAUGACAUGAAAUUUUUGGCCACAUUUUCUUCAAUAUAUUCCUUGAAUUCAGCUAAUUCAUUUUGUGAUAAACUAUAGAUUGGUCCAAAUGGUGAUUGUAUUUCUUCUUAAAGGUCAAUUGAAAAUUCAUAGAGAUGAUGUAUUUGAUGAGUAUCCACAUUCUUUUUCUCAAAUAUAUCUUGAAACUCUUGAUAUUGGCUUAAAAUGCUACUUGAAGUCUUUGUAUUAUUAAAAAUAGGUGUGGCAUAAAUAACACAAGGUGAUUCUUCUUUGGCAGCAUGCAAGAAAGCUCUUGCACCUAUAAACAUAAGUUUUAUAGUAUUAGACUUAUAACUUUCUAUUGGAUUAAUUUCACUCUUAGUUAUACUUUUAGAGAAGUCAAGAAUAUAAGAAAUCUAAUCUAUACAAGGAUUAUACUUUUUUAACUACAAUAAACUUGAAAUGACUGGAUGUCAUGGACAUAAUCAUGUAAGCUAGUAAUUAUAUAUACAAAUAGGUAGAAGUAAGUAAAAGUAAGUAAAAGUAAAUUAAUUCUAUAGUAUUUAAUAUAGAAGCUUCCUAGAAGCUUCAUAGACACUGCUUUGACUUCAUAGUUGUCUUUAAUUGACUUUUUGGAUUAGAAACGUGGUCAACAAGUUGGCCAUGUGCCACACAUGUUGUUAGCUUGAAGUUCAAGCUAACUAUGUAGCCCACACGUAGAAAAACUUACCUUGUAAGUCAAGGCAUAUGUCCUACAAAGUCAACACAUAUUGGAGGUCCUAUAGAAUAUCGCCACGUAGCCCCUAGUUAGAUAGUAUAUAUAGAGACAAGAGUGAAGGCUUCUUCACUCUUGUCAAUUUCUUUCUUGCUUCUAGUCUAGUUUCAAGGGUCUCUAGUUUUCUUGUCUUUUGGCAAUAGCCAUUCCAUUUUUUCUUUCAAUAUAUAUCUUUGUUUAUAUAUAUUUUGUUACCUCUCUUUGAGUGAAGGCUCACUUGUCUGAAUUAUUUUUUCAUCGAGUUCUUGUCCUUGACAGAUUGACAAGAGUACACCUAUAAUAUGAGAGCUUUAUCUAAUCUUGAUUAAGAGUGGAUUACCCCUUUUUCUUGAUAAGAUAUAAGCAUAUUAGAAGUUGUGGAUUACCCUCUUCUAAACUGAUAUUGUCCUUAGUAUUUUCUUUGUUUUCAAGUCCUCUCUUCUAUUUGUCUUGAGCGAUAUUAGACAUCUUCUCUCUUCUAAUUGUUAUCAUGGCAGAACUUGUUGAAAUGAAGAGUGCAAUGGCACAAAUGCAAGAGCAAUUGAGGGAGUUAAUGCUUGCGAUUCAUCAACUCAAUUUACCACCACAAGGAGCAACAAGAUUGGCAAGAAGUGAAGAUAUAGAAAUAGUUGGAGCUUCUUCAACAUCUGUACCAAACCAUAUCCUUUCUCCUAUGGUAGAAUGCCCUUCAAAUAUUAGAGAACGAAGAAUUGCCCUACCCGAGAAGUUUGAUGGCACCAGAUUCAAGUUUCGAGGAUUUAUCAAUCAAGUGCAACUUGUGAUUGAACUUCAAUCCCAAAGCUAUCCAACUCCAGGAUCGCAAGUUAGAUUCAUUGGUACGCUUCUUUUAGGUUCAGCACCAUCAUGAUUUUCAUCUUUUCUUGAAUGACAAGAUCCAAUAUUAGAUAAUUUAGAGGCUUUUUUGGCAGAGUUUCGAUCCAUGUAUGGAGAACAUGAUGCAAUUCGUAUUACAACCAAUAAGAUCCGUAUUUUACGACAAGGCAAUUGAACAGUAACGUUAUAUGCUUCACAAUUUUGACAACUUGUAAUUGAUAUCAAGUGAGAUGAUGUUGCACUUAUUAGCCAAUUUCUCUACGGAUUAUAAUAUGAGGUAAAAAAAUUAAUGCUCAACUUACCUGAUCCUCAAACAUUGAGUCAAGCAAUUGACUUUGCUGUGAAGUGCGACAAUCGCUUAUUUGAAUUCCGAUCUGAGAACCGUACAAGUGGACCUCAACGUUACUAUAAUUUAAUGGCAACACCAACACCUCUUCAACACAUAUAUUCGGAAGUAGAGGAUAUGUAAAUUGAUGCAGUACAUUUUAAACCUCUUAUUGAGCAAGAAAAGACUCGUCGUCGUUAAGAAGGAUUAUGUUUAUAUUAUGGAGAACCAAAACACACUGCUCAACAUUGUCCAAAAAAAUGAUGCAAUCACAAAAUGAGGAGUAUGGCUAUGAAAGACAAUAUGUCAGAAAAUAAGUUUAUCCAGCUACAAUAGAAAUCAUGCGGCUCGAACCUUGCACAACAUCUAGUAAAGGUCUUAUUCUCUCCUCAAAGCCCUCUCUUUGUUUUACAUUAAGUGUUAUUUUAGGACCUAAAUAUUACAAAGCCUCUGCCUUGUUAGAUUCAAGAGCCUUAGUGUGUUUCUUAGAUAAAGAAUUUACUAAAAGACAUAGCAUAUCUUUAGUAAAGAAAACUAAACUUGUUCAUGUAGAAGUCAUAGAUGGUCGUCCAUUGUCUUCUGGAGAUAUUACUCACGAAACCCUUCCUAUAGAAAUAAUAAUCAUUGGUCAUAAUAGCUUUAUAGUAUUUAAUAUCAUUAGAUCUCUCUCUAAUCUAGUUAUUUUAGGUUUAUGCUGGUUAGAAAAAUACAACCCUCAAAUAGAUUGGAUUUCUCAAACUCUUACUUUCUCUAAAAGUAUAACUAAUAGUGUAGUUAAUCAAGUAGAGAGUCAUAAGUCCAGUUCAAUUAAACUCGUAUUUAUAGGUGCAAAAGCUUUCUUGCAUGUUGCUAUGAAAGAAUUACUAUAUAUUAUUUAUGCCACAUCUGUUUCUACUGGUGGAAAGACUUCAAGUGGCAUUCUAAGUCAAUAUCAAGAAUUUCAAGAUGUAUUCGAAAAAAAAAUGCGGAUACACUCUCGAAACAUCAUCCCUAUGAUUUCUCAAUUAACCUUCGAGAAGGAGUACAAUUGCCAUUCGGACCAAUCUACAGUUUAUCACAAAAUGAAUUGAAUGAACUCAAGGAGUAUAUUGAAGAAAAUCUAGCCAAGAAUUUCAUACGCCAUUGUAAAUCUCCGAUAGGAGCUCCAAUUCUAUUUAUGCAGGAAAAAGAUGGAUCAUUGCGGAUGUGUGUUGAUUAUCGAGGACUCAAUAAGAUUACCAUCAAGAAUAGGUAUUCACUACCUUUAAUACCUGGACUUCUUGAUUAGCUGAAUCAAGCUAAGAUCUAUACAAAAAUAGAUCUCCGAGGAGCAUACAAUCUAGUACGCAUCAAAGAAAGAGAUGAAUGGAAGACUGCACUUUGAACUAGGUAUGGAUAUUUUGAAUACAACAUCAUGCCUUUUGGACUUACAAAUGCACCAACAGCUUUUCAACAUCUAAUGAAUGAUGUUUUUUGAGAGUUUUUGGACGAUUUUGUGGUCUGUUAUCUAGACGACAUCUUGAUCUAUUCUAAGGAUCUAGAAGAACAUGAACUUCAUGUUCGUCGUGUGUUACAAAAAUUAAGAGAUGAAAGACUCUAUGCCAAGAUAGAAAAGUGUAUAUUCCACAAUACUCAAGUCGAUUUCUUAGGUUACAUCAUUUCAAAUGAUGGACUUAUGAUGGAUCCUAAGAAAGUUCAAAUUAUUAUAGAUUGAAAGAUCCCAAAAACGGUAAGAGAUGUCCAAUGUUUUUUGGGAUUUGCCUACUAUUAUUGGAUCUUCAUCAAAGACUUCUCUCGAGUUGCAGCUCCACUUAUACAUUUGACUUUUAAAGACAAACUCCAAUGGAAUCAAGAAGCGAAAGUUGUUUUUGAAUCUUUGAAGACAGCGUUUGUUUCUGUAUCAAUCUUGUAUCGUGUUGAUUUUUCCAAAGCAUUCUUUAUGGAAACAGAUGCAUCGGACUUUGCUCUGGGUGUGGUUUUAUCACAAAUGGAAAAAGAUGACAAACUUCAUCCAGUAGCCUUUCCUUUAAGAAAAUUCUCAGCAGCAGAAAUCAAUUAUGAGAUCCAUGACAAAGAACUUCUUGCAAUUGUGGAUUCUUUUCAAGAAUGGCAUCAUUAUCUAGAAGGCGCUUCCAGUCCAAUCACCGUAUAUAUGGAUCACAAGAACCUUGAAUAUUUUAUGUCAGCAUGCGUAUUAAAUCGUUGCCAAGCUCGUUGGAGCAUGUCUUUAUCAAGAUUCGAGUUCAUCAUCACUUAUCGGCCAAAAAAACAACAAGGUUUGUCCGAUGCCUUGUCUAGACAUUCUUAUCUUGCACCAAAAGAAAGAGAUACAGCUUUUGAGCAACAAAGAACGGUUCUCUUGAAGCCACAGCAAUUUCAUCUUCGAGCAAUAAAAUCAACAUUGACUGUUGAUUUAACUUUUCUUAAGCAACUCUAGUUAAGUAUGUCUUCAGACCCUCUUAUUCAUGAUAUCAAGAAUAAUUCUUCUAAAUCUCAUGAUCCCUCUAAAUUUGAAUUCAAGAACAACCUACUCUAUUUCGAAGGAUGCCUAUAUGUUCCAGAAGGAGAAGCAUGUUUACGUGUUCUUCAAGUUUGUCAAGACUUCCCAGCAGCAGGAUAUUUUGGAUAUAAUAAGACUUUGGAGUUGAUAUCUAGGGAUUUUUGGUGGCCUCAAAUGUGGAAGGCAAUUAAAGAUUUUGUACAAUCAUGUGAUAUUUUCUUAAGAUCGAAAACUCCUCGUCAUCGACCUUUUGAACUUGUUCAGCCAUUACCCAUUCCAGAACAACCAUGGUCUUCUGUUUCUAUGGACUUCAUCACGGAUCUUUCAACCUCAGGUUCUUAUGACUCUAUAUUCGUUAUAGUAGACCAUUUUACCAAGAUGGCACAUUUUGUACCAUGUACAAAAUCUAUCAUAGGUGAAGAAACAGAUAAGCUCUUUCUUGACAAUAUCUAUCGCUGUCGUGUUGUGACAUGACUAUAUGGUAAAAAUAUGACAAAAAAAUAAUAUUUUAAUUAAUAUUCUAUUAUCAUGGUUCAACAAGCAUUCAAUAUAUUUUAGAAGGCUUUUAUAAAAGCCUCUAAUCCUAUUUUCUUCACUUAAUAGCUAGUAGAUAAAAACUAGUUAGUAAUUUUACCUUCUAGGCUGUAGUAACUUUUUUAUUACCUUAAAAAGGCCAUAAAAUGGUAAAAAAAGUAUAAAAAGGAUAAUUUAUUAGCAUAGUUGAUACUAGGGUUAAGUUGAGGGUAGGAUCGGGCUAUAAAACCACUAGGAUAGAUUAGAUUGAUAUCCGGGAGGUCGGCCGGAAAUGAGACAGGGUCGAAAUCCGACCUCCACCCACUAAAACGGCCGCCUAGGGCAAAAUACAGGGGUUUUUUCAGAUCGGGUUUUUGGAUCGAAGAGCUAGCUUCAAGUUCUUUUCAAGAUCUCUAGUUCAGUUUCAUUAGGGUUUGUGAGGGGAGAGCAAUUGCUGCUCAAAGUCAGUGUUUAUUUUGGUGUUUCGGAUUUUAUAUAAAACAUUAAUGGUUUGUAUUCUCAAUCGGUUUGUGCAAGUCGUGUAGCAUCUAUGGGUCAAAAUUUGGUAUUGUCUGGAUAGUUGGGUGUGCUAAGUGUAUACAAAAAUUUGUGUUAAUCUAACGAUGCAAUCAAGAGAUAUCUGGGUUUUAGUACAAAGGGUUGUCGGAAGUUGGCAGUCUAGGGUUGGAUAGGGUUUUGUGAUAUCUGAAGAUCUACUAGUUGAAUCGACGUAAUUUUUGGCUUGGUAAUAGAAGAUUUGGAGAUCAAGCGGCUAUUCAAUUUUGAGCUGGAGUUAACGGUUGACAAAGGAGAAAUCACUUGUGGAGUUUCUACAUCAAAUUUCAUGGUUGCGGCUGAGUGUCAUCAGUGCGGUUUUUGGGCGUUUUCUUGCAAUCUGUAAGUUGGAUUGGGCUGAAAUUUUCUGAGCAUAUAGAAGGCUUAUACUGGUAUUUGGGUGCAAAAUUUCACACUAAGUGGACGGUUGGAUCAAAAGUUACAGCUUGUCAAAGCUCACUAGCAAGGGUUAGGGCUUGUUAAGAAAAACAAAAACAACUUAAUUAUAAAAGAAAUAAAGCAAUUGGAAUAUUGUAUGGUUAAAAUGACUAUGAGGAGUGUUUUUAAAUAAUUGGAAAUUGAUAUUUCAAUUAUAUUCUUCAUACAUGGAUAAAAUCUAUUAAAGUUUUUUUUUUAUUUGCAAAAACAACUAUACCUUCCAUAGCCAGAUAUCCAAUGUAUUCCUGAACAAGACAACAUGUAAUACGACAUCGCUAUCAUGGAUUAUCCAAGGAUAUUAUAUCAUAUAGGAGAACUCAAUUUGUAUCAAGAUUUUGGCGGGCUCUUUUCAAGAUUCUUAAAGUGGAUAUAAAACUAUCUUCGGCAUUCCAUCCUCAAAUUGAUGGACAAACGGAGCAUGUUAAUCAAGUUUUGGAGCAAUAUUUAAGAUGUACUAUUAAUUACCAACAAGAUGAUUGGACAACUCUUUUGCCAUUGGCAGUGUUUGCUUACAAUAACACGAUACAUUCUUCUACAAAAUAAACACCUUUCUUUGCUAAUUAUGGUUAUCAUCCACGACUUGAUACUUUUGACUUUUCAAAAGUUGAUAGUCCUGCUGCGAAAGAUUUGGCAAUUCAUUUAUCAGAGCUACAUGCAACGAUGAAGGCACAGUUAAAAGAGGCUCAAGAACAACAAAAGGUCAAUGCGGUGUCGUGAUAUAACACAAUUAAUAGGUGAAAGAGUGUGAAGAUUAUUAUAAUUUAAGAGAUCUUAGUUCAAAGUAUUAGAACAAAUUAUCUUAGAAAUAUAAUUAAUAGCCAAAGGGGUAGAAAAAUUAAAAGGUACCAAUGCUACCUUUUAGAAAGGUGACUUCUACUUACUUUGUAGUACCAUAAGUAAGGCAAAUCAAAGUAUAUUGGGAAAAUAAAUGAUAUAGGAAUCUUUAGAAGAAAGUUAAGAGUAAAUUCUAGAAAAAAAUUACUUAGAAAAACUAGAUAUUGAUAUCCGGAGAGGGCCGGUUAUGAACCAGGGUCGAAAUCAGACCUUGAGGCACAAAACCGAGUCUCGACGACGACUCCGGGACUCUUUGGCCAAUUAGAGAGUGGGGUUUGAGAGAAGAUUGGAUAGGGUUUCUAUGGGCAUUGAUUUUGGGUGAUUUGGAGUUGAUAUGAAUUUGUAAGAGCUUUGCAAAGUUGAGUUUUUUUUUCCAGAUGACUUGGGUUUUAUAAAAUAAAAUAGGAUUUAUGUUUUGAGUGAUUUUGAGAGUUUUGUCGCAGAUCUACAGGUGAGUUUUUUUGGGUUCAUGGUUAUAGUUGUGUUGAAUACAUGUUGUGAAUUUGAGCUUGAUCUAACGGUUGAACUGAGAGAUAUUGAGGUUUAAGUGAGUCAAGGUCUCAAAAAGUAGAAUUUUAGGUCUAGUGAAGGUUUACUAAGGCAAAAAAUAAAAAAUUAAUUUUAUUUCUUUAUAUCUCUUUUUAUACAAAGAGUAUAAAUUGCAUAUCAAGGAUAUGAAUUUCAAAGAACUAAAAGAUCAAUAUAAUCUUGUGUCACUUUAAAAGAUUAAAAAAUCAUUCAAAUUUGGUAUAAUAUUAAAUCAAAAUAGCUAUUGUUAAAGACAAAAAGACUAAAAAAUCUUAAAAUAAGAUAAAAGAAUAGAAAGGCUUUCAGAAGAGUAAAGAUGGCUAUUUAAUUAAGAGCUUGUAGAAAUUUUCUAUUGAACUUCCAACUUGUGUUUAAAUUACAAGAUUAAUGUCUUAGUUUGUAAGACAAGUUUUUUAUAUGUGUGCCACAUAAUUAGCUUGUUCUACAAACUAUCAAUAUGUGCAAUACAUGAUUAAGUUAUUGAAUAAGUUUCUAACCUAUCAAUUUAUUAUAAAUACAAAUAAAAUUAAAGUUACAUCUAUGAAGCUUUUCCACAAAAUAUUAUCUAAUUAAUCUAUUUUUAUCUAUUUUUGCUUAAUCAUAUAGAUAAAUAUUAGAGUAAAUAUAUGUCUAUAAUAUUAUCCCUUCUUUUAGAAAUGAGUUCCAUAAGGAGUACUUAUCAUAUAUUGAAGAAGUUUAAGAUGCAAAAAAUUUUAUUUGCUAUAUACUAUGAUCUUUAUUUCUUUUAAAGGUAGUUGAUAGGUUCUUCUUAGCCAUCAAUAAUAUCUCAUUUUAAAACAAGAAGACCACCCUGUUAUUUGAUCAUAAUUGAUACCUUUCUAGCUUCAUUCAAAUAAUACAUUUAUAAGUCUAUUAAGAGUCAUUUCUACCUCUAAUAAAAUUAAAAAACAUCAAAAGUCUCUUCCAGGUCAUGAUAGCAAAUGCAUUAAAACUUGCCAUCUAUUUAAAGAAAAAUAUGCUAUUCUUAAGGAUCUUCAUCUUAAUUAUGUCAUCUUGAAGGUUGUAAUAAUUACAAUAUCUCAUUUGAUAAGUCAAAAAAUAAUAACUCUUAUGUUAAAUCUAUUGGUUCUUGAUUCUCUUUUCUCUUAGUGCCACAAACAUAUAGAAACUACAAACAAAGAUAGAAGAUAGAAUGCCAUUUUUUUUAGAUCUUGUUUCUUUUAUAAAAAAGAUUUAUUAUUCUUUAUCUUGAUUUUGAUAGAUAUUAUCAAUGAAAAAUAUCAACUUUCUUAUUUGUAUAUGUAAGAUUAUUUUUGGCUUCUAUGUACAUUCACUAAUAUCAUAUCCAUCCUAAUGAAUAAGAUAUUUUAACCUAUUUUGGCAUUGCCUUAAGUCUAAGACUUCUUCUACUUGAAACUCUUCAUAAUUGUCUACUUCUAUAGGAGGUAGUAUUUGUCUUCUUCUCAAGAUAUUCAUUAGCUUAUAUGAUUCAAAAAGAAACAUCUAGAAUAUAUGAUGGAUCUUCAUAGACUCCGGUGUCAUGAUGUAACAUGACUAAUAGGUGAAAGAAUGUAGAAAUUAUUAUAAUAUAGGAGAUCUUAGUUCAAAGUAUUAGAGAAAAAUAUCUUAGAAAUAUAGUUAAUAGUCAAAAGGGUAAUAGAAAAAAAAGUACUAAUAUUACUUUUUAUAAAAUGACCUUCUACUUACUUUAUUGGACCAUAAAUAAGACAAAAUAAAGUAGAUUAGGAAAAUAAAAAUAAUGAGCAUUUAUAGGAGAAAGUUAGGAGUUGAUUUUAACAAAAAUUAACUCAAAAAGACAAAAUUUGAUACCCGAAGAGGGCCAGUUAUAAACCUAGAUCAAAAUCAGAUCCUGAGGUACAAAACCAAGCACCUACUGCAACUUCAAGGUUUUUUUGUAGAUUAAAAAAUAAAAUUUGAUAGUAGACUAGAUAAGAUUUCUAUGAGUAUUUUUUUUGUGUGAUUUGGAUUUGUAAUGAAUUUAUAAGAGCUUUAUAAAGUCAAGUUUGUUUUUAUAUGACUUGGAUUUUGUGAAAUAAAAUAGGGUUGAUAUUUUAGAUGAUUUCAAGAAUUAUAUAAUAGAUCUAUAGGUGAAAUUUUGUAGAUUAAGGGUUAUAGUUGUGCUUAAUAUGUGUUUUGAAUUGUAGCUUCAUUUAAUACUUGAAUUGAGGGUUAUUGAGGGUUAAGUGGAUUAAGAUCAUAAAAAGUAGAAUUUUAGGUCUAAUAAGGAUUUUUAAGAUUUCUUGCAAUGUGCUAGUUGGAUUGCAGUGAAAUUUAUAAUUGAAGAAAGUAGACUUGUUUUUCUAUGUAUAUAAGAAUUUUGAGAUCAAUCGAAUAAAGAAAAAAGAGAGAUAUUAGCUCUGGAAGAUUGGCAUUAAGGUCAGAGAAGGAGGCUGGCCAAUACCUGAGCUCAUUUUUGAGGUUAUUGUCUAUUUAAUUAUUCCAAUCCUUUUCAAAUUUUCUUUGCUUGUCUUCAACUUAAUUUUUAAAAAGUAUGAAAAUUUUGAAUUAAGAUCAAUAGUUCAUUCAUUAGUUAUUGAGGUUUAAAUUUAUUAUAGGAAUUUCUAGGAUUUGGUUUAGGAUUUAGGAUUUGAUUAGGAUUUGUUUUAAGAUUAAGAUUUGAUUUAGGAUUAGGAUUUGGUUAGGAUUUGAUUUAAGAUUAAGAUUUGAUUAAGAUUUGAUUUAGGAUUUAGGAUUUGAUUUAGGAUUUAAGAUUUAGUUAUGAUUUGAUUUAGAAUUUAAGUUUUGAUUUAGGAUUUAGGAUUUGAUUAGGAUUUGAUUUAGAAUUUAGGAUUUGAUCUAAGAUUUAUGAUUUGAUUAGAAUUUGAUUUAGAAUUAGAAUUUGAUUUAGGAUUAGAACUUGGUUCUGAGUUGAUUUACGGUUUGAUUAAGAUUUGAUAUAGGAUUAGGAUUUGAUUUAGGGUUAGAACUUGGUUACAAGUUUAUUUAGAAUUUAGGAUUUGGUUAGGAUUUGAUUUAGGAUUUAGGAUUUUAUUAGGGUUUGUUUAAGAUUUAAGAUUUAAUUAUUUUUUUGCAUAAAGUUUGAAUGAAGUCCAAUAGGAUUUUAACUAGGAUUAAAUUAAGAUUGAAUUGAGAUAUAUUUGAGAUAUAUUUGUGAUCAUUCUAAUAUUUUUUUAAGAUUUCUUAUUAUUUCUUUUUAAUUCCUUUGAGGUUUUUUUGAAUUUGAUUAAAGUUUGUUUAACAUUGUUAUGGUCUAUUUAGAGUUUAGUUAGUGUUCUAUUAGAGUUAGGAUUUUAUUGUUGAAAUUUCCAUUCUACCUUCGACAGUCAAGUACUUGGAGCAUUCUCAAGCAAGAUUUCACGUAUUAUGACAUUGAUUGAUAUAAUUAAUACGCAACAAGAU
Molecule: long non-coding RNA, 19229 nt
Filed under: Physcomitrium patens
Lineage: Eukaryota; Viridiplantae; Streptophyta; Bryopsida; Funariales; Funariaceae
Description: long non-coding RNA (PPAT_LNC014746)
Source: RNAcentral